Long non-coding RNA from Drosophila nasuta, 314 nucleotides. RefSeq lists it as uncharacterized. Lineage: Eukaryota; Metazoa; Arthropoda; Insecta; Diptera; Drosophilidae. The transcript has 2 exons. The record is from RefSeq and is a predicted model, not a curated record.
AAAUACGUAAUGUGUUAAAUUUAAAUUAAAUGCUAAUUUUCCGCAUUUCUACAAAAGUCCUAUAAAAGGCGACACACAAUAAGGGUUCCAAUCAAUUCUAAAAUAAUUUGCAGAAAUGAAACUCUUGGCGUUAGUAAUGGGUUUGUGCCUCAUUUGCAGUGUUUAUUCUAAAGCGUCACGCAAGCCGUGGGAUCCACCAUAUCCUUCGGGUAAAUAAUUUAACGUACGAAAUGUAUUUGUUAGAAGAGCAUUUUUUUCUAAUUGUACACUUACACUAAAAGUACGUAAUAAAUAUACAUAUAUUGGUUUUUAAA